UUCCGGUUGAUCCUGCCGCCGGGCACCGCUAUUGGAGUUCGCUUAAGCCAUGCGAGUCGAGAGGGGUAAGCCCUCGGCGCACUGCUCAGUAACACGCGGACAAUCUGCCCUCAAGACGGGGAUAUUCCCGGGAAACUGGGGCUAAUACCCGAUAGACUGAGAUGAUGGAAGGCUCCCAGGUCGAAAUCCUCCGGGGCUUGAGGAUGGGUCUGCGGCCUAUCAGGUUGUAGGGGGUGUCACGGACCCCCUAGCCGAAGACGGGUACGGGCUUUGGGAGAAGUCGCCCGGAGAUGGAUUCUGAGACACGAAUCCAGGUCCUACGGGACGCAGCAGGCGCGAAACCUCCACAAUGUGGGAAAUCACGAUGGGGGAACUCCAAGUGCCUACGCUUUAAGUGUAGGCUGUUCUCGAGCCUAAAAAGCUCGAGAAGUAAGGGCCGGGUAAGACGGGUGCCAGCCGCCGCGGUAAUACCCGCGGCCCGAGUGGUGCUCAUUAUUAUUGAGCCUAAAGCGUCCGUAGCUGGCCGGGCAAAUCUCCGGGUAAAUCGGGCAGCUCAACUGUCCGAAUUCCGGAGACACUGCUCGGCUUGGGAUCGGGAGAGGGUGAAGGUACUCCCUGGGUAGGGGUAAAAUCCUGUAAUCCGGGGGGGACCACCAGUGGCGAAGGCGUUCACCUAGAACGAAUCCGACAGUGAGGGACGAAGCCCUAGGGCGCAAACGGGAUUAGAUACCCCGGUAGUCUAGGGUGUAAACGCUGCAGACUUGGUGUUGGGGGUCCUGCGUGGGCUGCCAGUGCCGGAGCGAAGGUGUUAAGUCUGCCGCUUGGGGAGUACGGUCGCAAGACUGAAACUUAAAGGAAUUGGCGGGAGAGCACCGCAACGGGAGGAGCGUGCGGUUCAAUUGGAUUCAACGCCGGAA
RNAcentral lists this ribosomal RNA (917 nucleotides) under uncultured archaeon. Its description in RNAcentral is "bacterial SSU rRNA". It matches the Rfam family "Archaeal small subunit ribosomal RNA", at positions 1 to 923 of the family's 1478-position model. The record is from RNAcentral.